GCGGGCGGCGCAAGUGGCCCGUCUCUGACCCCGAGAACACGAGGCCGCCCGCCCUGUGCGCCUCAGGCCACCGCCCCGCCCCUCCGGCGGCUCCGGGGCCCCAUCGCCGCGCAGUAGCCGGCAGGUUCCAGGGAUUUGGAUGUCUGUGUCUUUGGGGGGCCAUUACUUCGCCUGCCACGUGGUACAGAGCGGGAGACACCUUUACAAAUGAGGAUUUCCUUUAUGAAUGUAAACUUCCCUUACAAAAGAUGGUGAACUGAGCCCCAGAGGUGGAGCGAACUCCCAAAUCCAUGCCGGGCAUGUAACUGAAUGGGAGACUUAAGCCCCAAACACAUCGAUUUGUGAAUAGAAAUGAUACUGAGAGAACAGCAGGCACCCGACUGUGACAAGAAUUCCCCUGUUUCAUUUUGUCAAGCCGGUCGUGUGAGAUCUGUAUUUCUGGUUAUCAUCCGAUAGAACACACGCCUUGUCAAUGUCCAUGUCCAGCAGAUUUGAGAAAAGGAAAUAAAUGGCAUCAGUUAAGAGGU
Molecule: long non-coding RNA, 527 nt
Organism: Aethalodelphis obliquidens (Pacific white-sided dolphin)
Lineage: Eukaryota; Metazoa; Chordata; Mammalia; Artiodactyla; Delphinidae
Exons: 5
Source: RefSeq, a predicted model, not a curated record